Molecule: ribosomal RNA, 391 nt
Filed under: uncultured bacterium
Lineage: Bacteria
Description: bacterial SSU rRNA
Rfam family: Bacterial small subunit ribosomal RNA
Source: RNAcentral
GACGAACGCUGGCGGCGUGCUUAACACAUGCAAGUCGAGCGGUAAGGCCCUUUCGGGGGUACGACGAGCGGCGAACGGGUGAGUAACACGUGGGUGACCUGCCCUCAGCUCUGGGAUAAGCCUGGGAAACCGGGUCUAAUACCGGAUAUGACUCCAUGACGCAUGUUGUGGGGUGGAAGGCCUUGUGCGGCUGAGGAUGGGCCCGCGGCCUAUCAGCUUGUUGGUGGGGUGAUGGCCUACCAAGGCGACGACGGGUAGCCGGCCUGAGAGGGCGACCGGCCACACUGGGACUGAGACACGGCCCAGACUCCUACGGGAGGCAGCAGUGGGGAAUCUUGCGCAAUGGGCGAAAGCCUGACGCAGCGACGCCGCGUGAGGGAUGACGGCCUGG